UGCCAGCAGCCGCGGUAAUACAGAGGUGGCGAACGUUGUUCGGAUUUACUGGGCGUAAAGGGUCCGCAGGCGGAUCGGUAUGUCAGAUGUGAAAGCCCACAGCUCAACUGUGGAAUUGCGUUUGAAACUGCCGGUCUAGAGUACUGGAGGGGAGAAGGGAACACUUGGUGUAGCGGUGAAAUGCGUAGAUAUCAAGUGGAACACCGGAGGCGAAGGCGCUUCUCUGGACAGAUACUGACGCUCAUGGACGAAAGCUAGGGUAGCGAAAGGGAUUAGAUA
Molecule: ribosomal RNA, 279 nt
Filed under: uncultured bacterium
Lineage: Bacteria
Description: partial 16S ribosomal RNA
Rfam family: Bacterial small subunit ribosomal RNA
Source: RNAcentral